RNAcentral lists this ribosomal RNA (253 nucleotides) under uncultured bacterium. RNAcentral describes it as "partial 16S ribosomal RNA". It matches the Rfam family "Bacterial small subunit ribosomal RNA", at positions 524 to 776 of the family's 1533-position model. The record is from RNAcentral.
UACGGAGGGUGCAAGCGUUAUCCGGAUUCACUGGGUUUAAAGGGUGCGUAGGUGGGAAUGUAAGUCAGUGGUGAAAUCUCCGUGCUUAACAUGGAAACUGCCAUUGAUACUAUGUUUCUUGAAUUUUCUGGAGGUCAGCGGAAUAUGUCAUGUAGCGGUGAAAUGCUUAGAUAUGACAUAGAACACCAAUUGCGAAGGCAGCUCACUAAGCAGACAUUGACGCUGAGGCACGAAAGCGUGGGGAUCAAACAGG